This 204-nucleotide long non-coding RNA is filed under the name Vigna radiata. Its description in RNAcentral is "long non-coding RNA (VRAD_LNC018186)". Lineage: Eukaryota; Viridiplantae; Streptophyta; Magnoliopsida; Fabales; Fabaceae. The record is from RNAcentral.
GAAUCUACUUGUAUUUUCCUUUUGGAACCCCAACCUUCCUAUAGUAAGAUUUUCUAACAUUAUGUCCAAUGGUAUUGCAGUAAAAGCAUGCAUUUGUAAUAGGAUUACUGAGAUCAAUAAACUUAUUUUAAUUUAUCCUAUUACUUUAGCCUUAUAGCCAAUACCUUGUCUAUUUAUAGCUCUUCUAGAUGACCUUAACACAAC